Molecule: ribosomal RNA, 257 nt
Filed under: uncultured bacterium
Lineage: Bacteria
Description: partial 16S ribosomal RNA
Rfam family: Bacterial small subunit ribosomal RNA
Source: RNAcentral
GUAAACAAAGGGAAGCGAAGUGGUGACGCGGAGCGAACCCCAAAAAUAACGUCCCAGUUCGGAUUGCAGUCUGCAACUCGACUGCAUGAAGCUGGAAUCGCUAGUAAUCGCGGAUCAGAAUGCCGCGGUGAAUACGUUCCCGGGCCUUGUACACACCGCCCGUCAAGCCAUGGGAGCCGGGGGUGCCUGAAGUACGCGACCGCAAGGAGCGUCCUAAGGUAAAACCGGUGACUGGGGCUAAGUCGUAACAAGGUAGC